RNAcentral lists this ribosomal RNA (445 nucleotides) under uncultured bacterium. RNAcentral's name for it is "SSU rRNA". It matches the Rfam family "Bacterial small subunit ribosomal RNA", at positions 26 to 518 of the family's 1533-position model. The record is from RNAcentral.
AGAGCGAACGCUGGCGGCAGGCCUAACACAUGCAAGUCGAGCGCCCGUAGCAAUACGGGAGCGGCAGACGGGAUAGUAACACGUGGGAACGCGCCCUUCGGUUCGGAAUAACUCAGGGAAACUUGAGCUAAUACCGAAUACGCCCUUACGGGGAAAGAUUUAUUGCCGAAGGAACGGCCCGCGUCCGAUCAGCUAGUUGGUGAGGUAAUGGCUCACCAAGGCUACGAUCGGUAGCUGGUCUGAGAGGAUGACCAGCAUCACUGGGACUGAGACACGGCCCAGACUCCUACGGGAGGCAGCAGUGGGGAAUAUUGGACAAUGGGCGCAAGCCUGAUCCAGCCAUGCCGCGUGGAUGAUGAAGGCCUUAGGGUUGUAAAGUCCUUUAACGGGGAAGAUAAUGACGGUACCGUAGAAUAAGCCCGGCUAACUUCGUGCCAGCAGCCGC